AAAAAUUCUCCAGAGCUUGACGAACAAAUUCCGGAAUUCCUCCCAUCAGGUAAUAACUUUCUCUCCUCUUUAGAGCCUCCUUCACAAUAACAUGGGCAUAUGUAUUCUCUACUUUUAGGAUAAAAUGGAACUUUAUCUCUUCAAAUUUGUCCUUUUUACUUUAAAUGUCUCUGAUAAUUGCUCCAAUCACCGAUUUAUCGAUAUCAGUACUUUGGCAUUUCUUGAUAACAGUUCUUGAAUCUCCCACUAUUUCCAUUUUGUUAAAACCUAUAAAAAUUCCUAAUUUAACUUCUUGUAACCCUACAUGUACCUCUACUGUGAACGGAGUUGCUAUAUCGAAGUGAAUGACCAUCUUUGAUGUAACAGCCUAAUUUUCAGUGGUGUCGGAACAGUGAUUCGAGAUCACUAAAUCAGAAAAAUGAGUCGGAAAUAUUAUUAAUUUAGUGAGUAUAAGUUAAAUGUGAAGUUAGGAAAAAUUUUGAAGUAGUGAAUAGUGUACUAAAAAUAAAUAUUAAAAUAAUUAGAAUCGAAAACGAGGUACCGAGACCUCGAGAAUUUUAAAUCGAGCCAUAAAUAUUUUUAUAAAUAUAUAUGGAGUGUUAAUAAGUCAGUAUUAAAGUUUCGUCAAGAAAUUUUAAAGUUCUGAUAGUUAAUUGAACAAAAAGGACUAAAUUGUAUUAAAUGCAAAAUUAUGGGAAAUGAUUAAACAGCUUAAAUGAUAAAAGAAAGAGGGUUUAAAAGGAAAAUAGACCCAAGUUCUCUUUGGGCUGGACGGCAAUGGCAUGAAAUCAGCAAGAAAAUAAGGAGAAUUAAGGGCAAAAUUGGAAAAUUGUAAAAUUUACUUAAUAAAGCUAGGACUAAAGUGGAAUUAUCUAGAUUUCUCUUUAUUUUUCUGCAUUCUCAUCAGAAAAAACACCAUGGAAGAGCUCCCUUAAGAUUUUUUUUCAUAUUUUUACUUCAGGUAAGUUUAAUUCUUGAUUAUUCUUGAAUUUUUGUGUUUUUGUGACUUUUACAACUAGGUCCACUUGUUAAAUUCAUUAGUUUUUGAUUCUAUGAAGGAAAUUGAAAAUUUCUAUGAAUAUGUGCUAGAAUUAUAUGAUGAUUUGGCAAGGAAUUAGAGCUUUAUAUUGUUUAUAUGCUGAUUUUAUUGAAUGAAUUGAAUAGAAAGUGAAUGUUUGGGGCCUAAUUGUAAAAGAGUUUGAAGUUAGAGUUGUAUGUAGAAAUUAUGAAUUUCAAUAGUUAUGAAAUAACUUAUAAUGUCUAGGAAAAGUAUUAAUUGAUAAAAUUAUCUUAAUUGAGGGGUUAAUUGAGCAAGGACCGAAUUGUAUGAAUUGUGAACUUUGGGGCAAAAUGAAAAUCAACAUUUUGCACUAAAACUGUUUUGGACAGCAGCAGUAGUUUAACUUUGAAAAAUCACCAAAAAUUGUAGAAAUGGAAUUAGAGGAUGAAUGAAAUAUGAAAUUAAAGCUUAUUGAGUCUAGUUUCUUAUAGAAGAAAUGAUGUAAGCAAUGGAAUUGUAAAUCAAGAGAUAUGAUAAAUUUUGUGAGACAAUAUCAGAAUGAUUUCAGGUUCCCUUGUUCUGACUUUGUAAAAUCAUAAAAAAAAUUGGAUAAAAAUAAUUAGGGGCGUAAAUUUAUAUGUUUAGAAUCCUGAAUGAGUCUAUUUUCAAGAGAAACAAACGGAAACAUCAUUCGAAUCCUGUACGAGGAGAUAAUUAAAUUUUAGUGAAGAAGGGUCGGAACUGUCAGACAGCAGAACAGGGGAGACUUCAAUGAAUAAACUGUAUUAAUUGGCCCAACCAAAAAUUAUGAAAUUUUUAUGGUAAGAAGAUAUAUGAGUCUAUUUUCAUGUGAAAAUUAUAGGAUCUUAAUUUUGAGUUUUUUAGCUCCAGAUAUAAAUAAUUUAGUGACUACGACACGGGUGGAUAGUCUGAAUAUUCACAUAAGUAAUUAGUGAAAAUUAUGGAUAAGGUUACUUACAAGUGUGUUAUUUAUACCAAGGAUGUGGAUGGAGAGGAGGAGGAGGAAAAAUAUAUGAAUGACUCGUGUAUAAAUUAAACACAUGCCCGAUUAUAAUCGAUAAGUGUUGGAUUAGAAAUGAUAUAAUGUUUUAUGUGGAAUAUUUAUUAUGAAAUUAUGAUUAUCGUUAUAAUACAAAAUUUGUACUUGUGAGUUUAUAUGGCUAAAUUUUAGUGAUUAUUUGUUAAUUUUAUGAAUUUCAUGAUGUGUUAUUUCAUAUGUAUUGAUGAUAAAAUCGUGAAUAAUGUAAAAGCAUGAAAAUUGAAUAAAUGAUCAAAUUGAGCAUUUCAGUUCAGUGACAAGAUGAAUUGAAGGAAAAGACCAUAGUUGGACCAUAGCAACAAGUGAUAAGUGAUAGCUUCGGCUACACUUAUCUGAUCAAGGAUAAGUGAAAGUGAUAAGUAAUAGCUUCGGCUACACUUAUCUGAUCAAGGACAAAUGACAAGUGAAAAGUGGUAGUUUCGGCUACCUGAUCAAUGAAAAGUGGUAGCUUUUGCUACCUGAUCAGUGAAAAGUGGUAGCUUCUGCUACCUGAUCAGUGAAAAAUGGUAGCUCCGACUACCUCAUCAUUGAAAAAUGGUAGCUUCAGCUACCUGAUCAGUGAAUAGUGGUAGCUUCGGCUACAAGUGACAAGUGAUUUCCGUAUAAGACCAUAUCUGGGAUAUGACAUCGAUAUGAUAUAUGCUACUAUAUAAGACCAUAUCUGGGAUAUGACAUCAUUGAGAUAUGUGAUUCGUGUAAGACCAUAGCUGGGCUAUGACAUCGAUAAAUGAAGAUGUGUAAGACCAUAGUUGAACUAUGACAUCGAGUAAACGAAGUACUCAAUUCCGUAAGACGUUCACUAAUUUGACAAAGUUUGGUAAGUGUUACAUGGAAUUAUGUGAUAUAGGAAGUACGAGUUCAUAAGAUAUGAGUAUAGAACUUGGUUGAUAAAUGAAUUCAUUUGUGAUUAUAUAAUUGUUCAUCUUGAAUGUACUGUCCAUAUGUAUUGAUAAUUCAAACGUAUUAAUGAAUAAAGUUCCGACAUGGAAUAAAUUGAACACGAGACAAAUAAUUAUGAAAUUGAACUCGGAACUCAUGAAAAUGACAGUUAUUGAUAUAUGGAGACAUGAGACAUUGGUAUAUGAAUAUGGAAAAUGUUUGAUAAAUGUGUUUAUUCAUAAUUAUGGAAUUAUAUACCUCAUGUGUACUAUUUGCAUAAAGAUGAUAUUUCAAAUACUUUGGUUAUUUAAGCUUAAAUAUGAAACAGUAUGAAAUCAAGAUAAGUUGUUAUAAAAAUAUAUUUAGAUUACAGAGCUAUGGCUGACAUAUGUUGUAUGAUUACAUAACGUGAAAUUGUGUAUAUAUAUAUGAGAAAUUUAAUGAGAAAUGAGCCAUACACGUUUCUUGUUAUUUAUAUGAAGUGUACGACUAACAAGGGUGAUGAAGUUAUAAACAGAGAGUUACACGGGUUGAAAACACGGGCAUGUGACUCUCCAAAGUGUGAAAAUUUUCUAAGUGUUGCAAAAGUUUCAUAUGUUUACGGUUUGAUCCCGAACCACCCUGAAUGUAUGUUUUGGGUCCCAUAGGCCCAUAUAAAGGACGUUAAACAUAUGUAUGAAAGUUUUUAAUUUAGAAGAAAUUUUAUGGCUGAUUUUUACAUGAUUGAUCAUAUUAAGUUCGGUAAUGCCUCGUACCCUAUUCUAGGCUCGGAAUACUGGUAGGGGUGUUACAUUUGAUGCUAAGAUCUCCCCCUUCUCAUUUCGUACAAUCAAGCCCGAAACCGAUUUGGAAUAUUGUUGGUCAAAAGCUGCGUCAAAAUGAACUGUGACCUUUGCUCUUCGAUUAUCCUGUUAAAUGCCUGAAUCGGACUGAAGGGUGAGUUUUUCCUCUUUUAUUCCAUCCAACUUAGAGAUAUAACUUCAGAUUUGCUUCGCUAUUUCUCUUCCUAUCACAUUUCUUUUUUCAUAUAAUAAACAAUUCCUAUUAAACCAGAUUAACUAGAGUCUACAACGGAAAAACUGAAUCUAUUCAUUAGUCCCUUGACAG
This 4046-nucleotide long non-coding RNA is filed under the name Gossypium barbadense (sea-island cotton). RNAcentral's name for it is "long non-coding RNA (GBAR_LNC005679)". Lineage: Eukaryota; Viridiplantae; Streptophyta; Magnoliopsida; Malvales; Malvaceae. The record is from RNAcentral.